UCCCCUGUGGUGUAAUGGGCAACACGUGGCGCUUUGGACGCUUUGUUCCAGGUUCGAGUCCUGGCAGGGGAGCC
This 74-nucleotide transfer RNA is filed under the name Streptomyces violaceusniger. Its description in RNAcentral is "tRNA-Gln". It matches the Rfam family "tRNA". Rfam says of the family: Transfer RNA (tRNA) molecules are approximately 80 nucleotides in length. Their secondary structure includes four short double-helical elements and three loops (D, anti-codon, and T loops). Lineage: Bacteria; Bacillati; Actinomycetota; Actinomycetes; Kitasatosporales; Streptomycetaceae. The record is from RNAcentral.